Long non-coding RNA from Perca fluviatilis (European perch), 2239 nucleotides. RefSeq lists it as uncharacterized. The record is from RefSeq and is a predicted model, not a curated record. NCBI's taxonomy places the organism in Eukaryota, Metazoa, Chordata, Actinopteri, Perciformes, Percidae. The transcript has 4 exons.
GACAGAUGCAGGAGCCUGGACACGGAGAGGCCUGUUCCACUCAAAGCAACACACAACCCAACACGGCUGUUGGAGGAGGUGGGUCGUGUACACUCCACAGCGAGCAUUGGCUUCACUGAUGGCUUUAACCAGAUAGUUCCCAGUGUUUGCCCUGGCUCAAGGAAAAUCUCCACUAGCUAAACAGUACUUGGAGGCCAGAGAAGAAGCACUCACCGAGAAUCUACAAGGAAUGGACUUCAGAGAUCCUCCUGUCAAUCAUUUUUAAAAUGAGUGUGGAUCAUCACAUCAUGAUUGGAGAGGGUGAACCCAACACACCAUUCCCAAUUGUCCAGGUGACCCAAGAAGACUGGAAGUCCACAUUUGGGGGACGUAGCUGUUGUUCCCUGAAGGUAGACGGGGUCGAGGUGUGUGAAGGCAUGAAGGUAGAGGAAGCAACGAUCUCAUCGUUUUAUUCUUAUUUUGUUUUUGAUCUUGAAUACCAACCCAAAAACAAGAACACUCUGAUUCAUCCAGCGAUGUAUUGUGAAAAUGAAUGUGAAGGGAGUGUAUUUCACUUUGAAAAAAGGAAUUCUCUCACCAUGCAACACAUCCACAACAAAAACAUCUUGUGUGGCAUACUUGACAUUGUUAACGGUUACUUCUGAAACAUGUAUAACUUUAUCUUCACUUAAAGAAACAUCAGUGAAAUAUUGCUCUAGAGCACACUGGAGAGUAAGUGGUAAGGAACAAAAUGGAGUGCUAGUACUGCUUCUUGGUACCUUCUCAAAAUCCUCUAAAUUAUUUGAAGAAAAGUCCCAGCAUUGUUUUAACUGGUGACGGUUGCUCAGAGUGGAAGCUAUAUUAAUGAAAUUACGACAAUUACUUGCAAUAUUCUUAAAAAUUUGGUGUUUGCUUCAAACUUCAUGCACCAGUGAGAAUGAAGAGGCCCAAACAUUGACCUUAAUCUUCAAUAAUGAAUUAAAUAAUGGCAUUUUGGUGUAAUAAAAUUUCCAAAUACAGCUUUUCAACUCUGUCAAAAAUUCUUGCACAAGUACAUCUAAAAGAGAUUCUCGCUUCACACCGUUGGAGCUAGAACAAUAUCUACAAUUUCUCGGCACAACAGGUAUACACGCCAAUAUUGGCACAAUGGAAUACGAUGUGCGAUCAAAAAAGGAAUAAGUCUAAAAAUGCACUAUUUCUGAGAUGCCGAGCCCGCAAUGCCUCCUUAUUAUAGUAGUCUUUGAGACCACCGUGCUGGCUUAUUUGCUCUAUCAUUUUGACCUAUUCUCAUUCUCAGUAGCUUUUCUCUUGUAUGCUAAUAUUUUUUUUAUGCACAUGGCACAGGACAAGUUUCAAAACUAAAGGUAUGACACCCUCUAUCAUGUCAUGCAUUAUGUCUGGAGAUAAGGACUUAGUAACAUCUACACUGUACCCCAUAUGUUACUCUACUGUCAGGAUCUAACCUCAAUUUACAGUAUUCUUUCAAUUUGAACUGAGAAGAGAACUCUCUUGAUGCUUCCUCAAAAAAAAAAUCAUUGGACUGUAAAUCUUGAAGUUCAGGACCUCCUUCGACAUCAAAACAAUUUUCUUUAAUAUAAAAUAUAAAUUCAUAUUUCUCCUUUUUUUUUUUUUUUUAAACAAGCAAAAUAGAAAGUUUACAUCACUAAGUAUUUCUUGCUGAACAGAUUCUAGUAAAUUGUGUUCUCCCUGUAUUUUAGGAUGAAGCUACAAAGAUUAUUUUUAAAGGCAUCAUGGGCAUGAGUAAGUCCCACAUGUUGGACCAACUUCAUGAGAGUUAAAGUUUUUCUUUGGCACUUGGGUCACUGUUAUACACAAGGAUGUAAACAAGGCAUUUAGAAAUUAAGAUUUAGUAGAUGAGGUUUAUUGAUCUGGGUACAGUCGUCGGCAGAUGUUUUUGUUGUGGAUGUGUUGCAUGGUGAGAGAAUUCCUCUUUUUUUUUUCAGAAUGAAAUACAUUUUUAAUGUGGACACUACAUGGGUUCUUUGUGGAAAACUGAUAUUUCCAAAGUAUUUUAGCCAGCACGCAGAUGAGGUACCUGGAGAUCUGUCUUUGUGGCAAUGAAAUACAGUGUUUAAGACUGUUUAAAAAUUACACCUUCAGAUUGUACAAAUAUUUUAGCACUGGUGUGUAUCGACUAAUCUUUAGAUGUUGUAUCUUUCUUUAUAACUUUGGUCAUUAAAGUGUAUUGCAAAUGAAGAUUGUGGUGUGUGGGAGUUAUUCACUUUCUAGUAUUUGAAUU